AAAUUGAAGAGUUUGAUCAUGGCUCAGAUUGAACGCUGGCGGCAGGCCUAACACAUGCAAGUCGAACGGUAACAGGAAGAAGCUUGCUUCUUUGCUGACGAGUGGCGGACGGGUGAGUAAUGUCUGGGAAACUGCCUGAUGGAGGGGGAUAACUACUGGAAACGGUAGCUAAUACCGCAUAAUGUCGCAAGACCAAAGAGGGGGACCUUCGGGCCUCUUGCCAUCGGAUGUGCCCAGAUGGGAUUAGCUAGUAGGUGGGGUAACGGCUCACCUAGGCGACGAUCCCUAGCUGGUCUGAGAGGAUGACCAGCCACACUGGAACUGAGACACGGUCCAGACUCCUACGGGAGGCAGCAGUGGGGAAUAUUGCACAAUGGGCGCAAGCCUGAUGCAGCCAUGCCGCGUGUAUGAAGAAGGCCUUCGGGUUGUAAAGUACUUUCAGCGGGGAGGAAGGGAGUAAAGUUAAUACCUUUGCUCAUUGACGUUACCCGCAGAAGAAGCACCGGCUAACUCCGUGCCAGCAGCCGCGGUAAUACGGAGGGUGCAAGCGUUAAUCGGAAUUACUGGGCGUAAAGCGCACGCAGGCGGUUUGUUAAGUCAGAUGUGAAAUCCCCGGGCUCAACCUGGGAACUGCAUCUGAUACUGGCAAGCUUGAGUCUCGUAGAGGGGGGUAGAAUUCCAGGUGUAGCGGUGAAAUGCGUAGAGAUCUGGAGGAAUACCGGUGGCGAAGGCGGCCCCCUGGACGAAGACUGACGCUCAGGUGCGAAAGCGUGGGGAGCAAACAGGAUUAGAUACCCUGGUAGUCCACGCCGUAAACGAUGUCGACUUGGAGGUUGUGCCCUUGAGGCGUGGCUUCCGGAGCUAACGCGUUAAGUCGACCGCCUGGGGAGUACGGCCGCAAGGUUAAAACUCAAAUGAAUUGACGGGGGCCCGCACAAGCGGUGGAGCAUGUGGUUUAAUUCGAUGCAACGCGAAGAACCUUACCUGGUCUUGACAUCCACGGAAGUUUUCAGAGAUGGAAUGGUGCCUUCGGGAACCGUGAGACAGGUGCUGCAUGGCUGUCGUCAGCUCGUGUUGUGAAAUGUUGGGUUAAGUCCCGCAACGAGCGCAACCCUUAUCCUUUGUUGCCAGCGGUCCGGCCGGGAACUCAAAGGAGACUGCCAGUGAUAAACUGGAGGAAGGUGGGGAUGACGUCAAGUCAUCAUGGCCCUUACGACCAGGGCUACACACGUGCUACAAUGGCGCAUACAAAGAGAAGCGAACUCGCGAGAGCAAGCGGACCUCAUAAAGUGCGUCGUAGUCCGGAUUGGAGUCUGCAACUCGACUCCAUGAAGUCGGAAUCGCUAGUAAUCGUGGAUCAGAAUGCCACGGUGAAUACGUUCCCGGGCCUUGUACACACCGCCCGUCACACCAUGGGAGUGGGUUGCAAAAGAAGUAGGUAGCUUAACCUUCGGGAGGGCGCUUACCACUUUGUGAUUCAUGACUGGGGUGAAGUCGUAACAAGGUAACCGUAGGGGAACCUGCGGUUGGAUCACCUCCUUACCUUAAAGAAGC
Molecule: ribosomal RNA, 1554 nt
Filed under: Escherichia coli
Lineage: Bacteria; Pseudomonadati; Pseudomonadota; Gammaproteobacteria; Enterobacterales; Enterobacteriaceae
Description: bacterial SSU rRNA
Rfam family: Bacterial small subunit ribosomal RNA
Source: RNAcentral